This 476-nucleotide long non-coding RNA is filed under the name Apteryx owenii (little spotted kiwi). Its description in RNAcentral is "lncRNA (ENSAOWG00000005766.1)". The record is from RNAcentral. Lineage: Eukaryota; Metazoa; Chordata; Aves; Apterygiformes; Apterygidae.
GUUCUAUCUACAGGUAGAGAUGAAAGAAUACAGGCAAUAGCUACUCAAAUCAAUACAUCAAGAAACAGUGCUGCACAACUUAACCUGUCUCAACAUCACCUUAUACCCAACACCUGGAGAGGAUCAUACAAGGAGAACUCAGAGAAAUCCGGCCAACAGGUGUAAUUUGUUGCCUGUUGGAGACGGUAGCUAGUAGUACCUGAGUCUUUAUUUGAUGAUGAUGAGCUCAACAACCUACCACAAGUGGCUGGAAUUACUUUAACAUCAUGAGGAUCAAGCUUGCUGGAGAAGUGUGCCAGGUGAUCAGCUGCAGGGCAACAUUUGGAUUUUCCUUACUGGAACCAUAAUGAAUUUCUCCAAGGUGCCAGAACUGCAGUUCCCAUAAGAGAUGCUUGCCUAUCCAUUGAAAAUAUAUUGUUAAACUCGCCUACCUCAAGGACCUUAUCAAGAAAUAUCAAUAUAACAACCAAUUUACA